GUCCGGAAUUACUGGGCGUAAAGCGCGCGYAGGCGGUCCCUUAAGUCUGAUGUGAAAGCCCACGGCUCAACCGUGGAGGGUCAUUGGAAACUGGGGGACUUGAGCGCAGGAGAGGAGAGCGGAAUUCCACGUGUAGCGGUGAAAUGCGUAGAGAUGUGGAGGAACACCAGUGGCGAAGGCGGCUCUCUGGUCUGUAACUGACGCUGAGGCGCGAAAGCGUGGGGAGCAAACAGGAUUAGAUACCCUGGUAGUCCACGCCGUAAACGAUGAGUGCUAAGUGUUAGAGGGGUUCUCCCCUUAAUUCCUUCACCACCCUUAACACUCCCCCUUGGGGUUACCGGCCCCAAGCUG
RNAcentral lists this ribosomal RNA (351 nucleotides) under uncultured bacterium. RNAcentral's name for it is "SSU rRNA". It matches the Rfam family "Bacterial small subunit ribosomal RNA", at positions 543 to 895 of the family's 1533-position model. The record is from RNAcentral.